RNAcentral lists this ribosomal RNA (896 nucleotides) under Pseudoplectania nigrella. RNAcentral describes it as "partial large subunit ribosomal RNA". It matches the Rfam family "Eukaryotic large subunit ribosomal RNA", at positions 48 to 967 of the family's 3401-position model. The record is from RNAcentral. Lineage: Eukaryota; Fungi; Ascomycota; Pezizomycetes; Pezizales; Sarcosomataceae.
AAUGGGAGUAAGACACAGGGAUUGCCUCAGUAACUGCGAGUGAAGCGGCAAAAGCUCAAAUUUGAAAUCUGGUACCUCUGGGUGCUCGAGUUGUAAUUUGGAGAGGCAACUUCGGAGGGGGCGCUGGCCUAAGUUCCUUGGAACAGGACGUCACAGAGGGUGAGAAUCCCGUGCUUGGCUGGCUGUCCUCCUUCAUGUGAAGUGUCUUCGACGAGUCGAGUUGUUUGGGAAUGCAGCUCAAAAUGGGUGGUAAACUCCAUCUAAGGCUAAAUACUGGCGAGAGACCGAUAGCGCACAAGUAGAGUGAUCGAAAGAUGAAAAGCACUUUGAAAAGAGAGUUAAACAGUACGUGAAAUUGUUGAAAGGGAAGCGCUUGAGACCAGACUCGGUGAUUGGUGAUCAGCGGUAGCUUCUGCUCCGUGCACUUGCCUUUUACUGGGCCAGCAUCAGUUGCGACGGCAGGAUAAAGGCUCAGGGAAUGUGGCUCUCUUCGGGGAGUGUUAUAGCCCUGGGUGUAAUGCUGCCUGCCGCGACUGAGGACCGCGCUUCGGCUAGGAUGCUGGCAUAAUGGUCUUCAGCGACCCGUCUUGAAACACGGACCAAGGAGUCUAACAUCUAUGCGAGUGUUCGGGUGUAAAACCCCUGCGCGUAAUGAAAGUGAACGGAGGUGGGAACUCUUUGGAGUGCACCAUCGACCGAUCCUGAUGUCUUCGGAUGGAUUUGAGUAGGAGCAUAGCUGUUGGGACCCGAAAGAUGGUGAACUAUGCCUGAAUAGGGUGAAGCCAGAGGAAACUCUGGUGGAGGCUCGCAGCGGUUCUGACGUGCAAAUCGAUCGUCAAAUUUGGGUAUAGGGGCGAAAGACUAAUCGAACCAUCUAGUAGCUGGUUCCUGCGAGU